AUGCCGUCGUCUUCAAUGUCUUGGCACAGUGAAGUACAAAAGCAGCCUCAUUGCAAUGGUGAUCUUUAUGAAGAUGAUGAUAGUACCGUUGAAGUUCCGCAAGUUCACGAGCUCAACCAUGCCACCACCGCUGGGCGUGUCGUCCGUCACCUCCAUUGCACAAUAGAGAGGGAAGAGGGUGUGCUAACGCUCAAUUUUCAUCACCGCCAGUGUAUUCAUCGAGGGCGAGUGUACAAUGGCGCCACCGCGCUCCUCCUUGGCGCACUGGCCUUCACCAUGGGUAUGUCCUCCACAUGCGCAUCUCCCUCCUGGGCGUGUGUUGGACUUGCAUGCCGUCGCUCCGCCGAGUGUGUUUGCUGCGUGAAGCCUUUGCCCUUCUCCCACCUCGUGCACACGUGUCACGUGUGCCCAUCACCUCCUGCUGCUGCUCGGACCCUUUGCAAAAUAGCCGAGAACACAUAG
This 462-nucleotide ribosomal RNA is filed under the name Triticum aestivum (bread wheat). RNAcentral's name for it is "partial small subunit ribosomal RNA". Lineage: Eukaryota; Viridiplantae; Streptophyta; Magnoliopsida; Poales; Poaceae. The record is from RNAcentral.